AUGGAGGAAAUGGUAGCAUCAGCAGUUGUGCAGGAGGCUGUGAGCGGAGCUGUCUCCUUCCUGUUCAGCAGCCGCGGCGAAAAGGCGUCCCAGGAGGAACUCAUGGAGAGGCUGGAGAUGGCGCACAUGAGACUGAAUUUGGCGCUCGAGAGGACCAGGAUGAUGCCCAUCACUAUCAUGACGUUGUUUUGCCUGAAGAAGAAGUUGAAGGAUGUCUCCAAGGAGUGCGGUGAUCUGCUCAGCAGGGCGAGGGAUCGUCAGCAAAUGGUACCCUCUGUACGCAGAAAGAUUAUGCAUACUGUGCUGCCCUCUUUCAUUGUCCCAAGUCAAGAUGUGUUGAGCAGCUCUCUGGUUGGAAGAUUUGAGCGGUUUGUCAAGGAAGCCGACAGGUAUGUCAGGGACGUGGAGUCUGGAUGUUCACUUUCUCACUACAGGUUUCUCAGCUCUCCCAUCAGACAUCUUCUUCAAGGCAAGGGUCUCUCCUACGACAUGGUGCAAGGAAGCAAGGCUUUCUCACUUCUUGUAUUGACGGGUUAUAUGGAAGAGUAUGGCAGAGUCGCAGUGCUAAAGUUUGAUUACAAAGAUCGCAAGGCGCCACUUAAAAAUUGUGAACUAACGCUGAUUCUAAGAAUAUACGAAAGCACAAACAUAGUUGGAAUUACUGCCAAAUGUUUGCGGUCACUUGGACCUCAAUUCAAGUCUUUGGUUGAGGAUGCAACUAGGGAACUCACCCAAUUACCUACACAAGACGUUUCAUAUUUCGAUUCAGUAUGGUGGGAAUCCAUGGUUAAAGUGACUACAGAUUGGAAUCCAGACCCAUUUUGGUGCAUAGCUAAUGGGGUCAACAAGCCUUGUGCUAGCAAUAUCAUCUCAUCGGAGUUAACAGGCAGAUUUCCACAAGAAGUUCUGUUUGUCAGAUUUACCUUCAGUUUUUCAGCUUCUGAGUACUGCUUUCGGAGCUCAACUGAUGAAGCGCGUAUAAACGCCAUAAAGGCCUGGCCACCUCCACAGAUGAAAGUUUACUUUGCACCUCAUCUGUCGUUUGGAUUCCACGACGGGAGUAGCUUACGCCAAAAGGAGGAGGAAAUACAAACAGAGGCGAUUGAUUGUUUCAUCCGUCAACCUGGUAUGACGGAAUACAAUAUGGUUUGGACCUCGGUGCAUGGUAUUGUAUCCUUUUAUGUAUUGAAGCAGAUCGCCAAAACUAGGAGGGCCGCAAAGAGAAGGCGGUAG
RNAcentral lists this ribosomal RNA (1233 nucleotides) under Triticum aestivum (bread wheat). RNAcentral describes it as "partial small subunit ribosomal RNA". The record is from RNAcentral. Lineage: Eukaryota; Viridiplantae; Streptophyta; Magnoliopsida; Poales; Poaceae.